CCAAUAGACGACUUUAAGUGUUCACACAGUUUGUUUGAUGAUUGUAGGCAAUGGAAGAACGACAUCGAAGACAAAAUCCUGUUGGGUCUGUAGCUCAGGUGGUUAGAGCGCACCCCUGAUAAGGGUGAGGUCGGUGGUUCAAGUCCACUCAGACCCACCACUUAUACAUCAAGCGCAUUGAGUAUGAGUGAAAGCCAAAGGAUAUGAUUGGGGAUAUAGCUCAGCUGGGAGAGCGCCUGCCUUGCACGCAGGAGGUCAGCGGUUCGAUCCCGCUUAUCUCCACCAACAUCGUCAUAGUUAAGUUUAUUUAAGGUAUCUUUUAAUUUCGAUGAAUGAAUUUAACUAUGAUGAUAGUGAGUCUAUAGACUUACAUUAUUCUUAUCUGUUCUUUAAAAAUCCGGAAACAAGCUGAAAACGAGACUUUCAAGGAAGUCUGAGCGAGUGAUUGAGAAAAGGCGAUUACUCGACUUUAAUUUAAAACUGUUAUUAAUCGCAGCGCGGGUAUGCCACUUAUGGUGAAUAUACUAAUAUCCUAUGAGAGGGCAAGAAUACUUGAGGUUGUAUGGUUAAGAGACAAAGCGUACAAGGUGGA
RNAcentral lists this transfer RNA (592 nucleotides) under Aggregatibacter actinomycetemcomitans. RNAcentral's name for it is "16S-23S ribosomal intergenic spacer". The stretch from base 84 to 157 matches the Rfam family "tRNA". The record is from RNAcentral. Lineage: Bacteria; Pseudomonadati; Pseudomonadota; Gammaproteobacteria; Pasteurellales; Pasteurellaceae.